AUACGGAGGUUGCAAGCGUUGUUCGGAAUCACUGGGCGUAAAGGGCGCGCAGGCGGUUUGGUAAGUCAGAUGUGAAAGCCCAUGGCUCAACCAUGGAAGUGCAUUUGAAACUGUCAGACUUGAGUACUAGAGGGGAAAGUGGAAUUCCCGGUGUAGAGGUGAAAUUCGUAGAUAUCGGGAGGAAUACCGGUGGCGAAGGCGACUUUCUGGCUAGAUACUGACGCUGAGGCGCGAAAGCGUGGGGAGCAAACAGGAUUAGAUACCCUAGUAGUCC
Molecule: ribosomal RNA, 274 nt
Filed under: uncultured bacterium
Lineage: Bacteria
Description: partial 16S ribosomal RNA
Rfam family: Bacterial small subunit ribosomal RNA
Source: RNAcentral